Molecule: transfer RNA, 60 nt
Filed under: Cordylochernes scorpioides
Lineage: Eukaryota; Metazoa; Arthropoda; Arachnida; Pseudoscorpiones; Chernetidae
Description: tRNA-Gly
Source: RNAcentral
UGCAUCGGCCGGGAAUCGCCCGCGUGGCAGGCGAGCAUUCUACCACUGAACCACCAAUGC